CGAACGGGUGAGUAACACGUGAGGAACCUGCCCCGGGCACCGGGAUAACGGCGGGAAACCGCCGCUAAUACCGGAUAUCCUCCUCCAACCGCAUGGCGGGAGGAGCAAAGGCCUGCUGGCCCGGGAUGGUCUCGCGGCCCAUCAGCUUGUUGGCGGGGUAACGGCCCACCAAGGCAGCGACGGGUAGCUGGUGUGAGAGCAUGACCAGCCACACUGGGACUGAGACACGGCCCAG
This 235-nucleotide ribosomal RNA is filed under the name uncultured bacterium. Its description in RNAcentral is "partial 16S ribosomal RNA". It matches the Rfam family "Bacterial small subunit ribosomal RNA", at positions 99 to 334 of the family's 1533-position model. The record is from RNAcentral.